Molecule: ribosomal RNA, 480 nt
Filed under: uncultured bacterium
Lineage: Bacteria
Description: bacterial SSU rRNA
Rfam family: Bacterial small subunit ribosomal RNA
Source: RNAcentral
ACGAACGCUGGCGGCGUGCUUAACACAUGCAAGUCGAACGGAGUGCCCAUGACAGAGGCUUCGGCCAAUGGAUUGGGUUACUUAGUGGCGGACUGGUGAGUAACGCGUGAGGAACCUGCCUUUCAGAGGGGGACAACAGUUGGAAACGACUGCUAAUACCGCAUAAUAUCAUCGAAUGGCAUCAUUUGAUGAUCAAAGGAGCAAUCCGCUGAAAGAUGGGCUCGCGUCCAAUUAGAUAGUUGGUGAGGUAACGGCCCACCAAGUCGACGAUUGGUAGCCGGACUGAGAGGUUGAACGGCCACAUUGGGACUGAGAUACGGCCCAGACUCCUACGGGAGGCAGCAGUGGGGGAUAUUGCACAAUGGAGGAAACUCUGAUGCAGCGAUGCCGCGUGAGGGAAGAAGGUUUUCGGAUUGUAAACCUCUGUGGAGCGGGACGAUAAUGACGGUACCGCUCAAGGAAGCCACGGCUAACUACGUG